UCCAGGGUAGCCUAGUGGACAUGGCAUCUGCCCGGUAAGUGGAACAUUGUGGAUUCAAUUCCCAUCCCUGGAG
Molecule: transfer RNA, 73 nt
Filed under: Cordylochernes scorpioides
Lineage: Eukaryota; Metazoa; Arthropoda; Arachnida; Pseudoscorpiones; Chernetidae
Description: tRNA-Thr
Rfam family: tRNA
About the family: Transfer RNA (tRNA) molecules are approximately 80 nucleotides in length. Their secondary structure includes four short double-helical elements and three loops (D, anti-codon, and T loops).
Source: RNAcentral